This 440-nucleotide ribosomal RNA is filed under the name uncultured bacterium. RNAcentral describes it as "bacterial SSU rRNA". It matches the Rfam family "Bacterial small subunit ribosomal RNA", at positions 98 to 553 of the family's 1533-position model. The record is from RNAcentral.
GCGGACGGGUGAGUAACGCGUGGGUAACCUGCCUUACACUGGGGGAUAACACUUAGAAAUAGGUGCUAAUACCGCAUAAGCGCACGAAGCCGCAUGGAUUUGUGUGAAAAACUCCGGUGGUGUAAGAUGGACCCGCGUCUGAUUAGCUUGUUGGCGGGGUAACGGCCCACCAAGGCGACGAUCAGUAGCCGGCCUGAGAGGGUGGACGGCCACAUUGGGACUGAGACACGGCCCAAACUCCUACGGGAGGCAGCAGUGGGGGAUAUUGGACAAUGGGGGGAACCCUGAUCCAGCGACGCCGCGUGAGUGAAGAAGUAUUUCGGUAUGUAAAGCUCUGUCAGCAGGGAAGAAAGAAAUGACGGUUCCUGACCAAGAAGCCCCGGCUAACUACGUGCCAGCAGCCGCGGUAAUACGUAGGGGGCAAGCGUUAUCCGGAAUUA